This 461-nucleotide ribosomal RNA is filed under the name Shigella flexneri. RNAcentral describes it as "bacterial SSU rRNA". It matches the Rfam family "Bacterial small subunit ribosomal RNA", at positions 21 to 473 of the family's 1533-position model. Lineage: Bacteria; Pseudomonadati; Pseudomonadota; Gammaproteobacteria; Enterobacterales; Enterobacteriaceae. The record is from RNAcentral.
GGCUCAGAUUGAACGCUGGCGGCAGGCCUAACACAUGCAAGUCGAACGGUAACAGGAAGCAGCUUGCUGCUUCGCUGACGAGUGGCGGACGGGUGAGUAAUGUCUGGGAAACUGCCUGAUGGAGGGGGAUAACUACUGGAAACGGUAGCUAAUACCGCAUAACGUCGCAAGACCAAAGAGGGGGACCUUCGGGCCUCUUGCCAUCGGAUGUGCCCAGAUGGGAUUAGCUAGUAGGUGGGGUAACGGCUCACCUAGGCGACGAUCCCUAGCUGGUCUGAGAGGAUGACCAGCCACACUGGAACUGAGACACGGUCCAGACUCCUACGGGAGGCAGCAGUGGGGAAUAUUGCACAAUGGGCGCAAGCCUGAUGCAGCCAUGCCGCGUGUAUGAAGAAGGCCUUCGGGUUGUAAAGUACUUUCAGCGGGGAGGAAGGGAGUAAAGUUAAUACCUUGCUCAUGAC